Molecule: ribosomal RNA, 498 nt
Filed under: uncultured bacterium
Lineage: Bacteria
Description: partial 16S ribosomal RNA
Rfam family: Bacterial small subunit ribosomal RNA
Source: RNAcentral
GACGAACGCUGGCGGCGUGCCUAAUACAUGCAAGUCGAACGAGAGCGACCGGUGCUUGCACUGGUCAAUCUAGUGGCGAACGGGUGAGUAACACGUGGGUAACCUGCCCAUCAGAGGGGGAUAACAUCCGGAAACGGAUGCUAAAACCGCAUAGGUCUUCGAACCGCAUGGUUUGAAGAGGAAAAGAGGCGCAAGCUUCUGCUGAUGGAUGGACCCGCGGUGCAUUAGCUAGUUGGUGAGGUAACGGCUCACCAAGGCCGUGAUGCAUAGCCGACCUGAGAGGGUGAUCGGCCACAUUGGGACUGAGACACGGCCCAAACUCCUACGGGAGGCAGCAGUAGGGAAUCUUCCGCAAUGGACGCAAGUCUGACGGAGCAACGCCGCGUGAGUGAAGAAGGUUUUCGGAUCGUAAAACUCUGUUGUUAGAGAAGAACAAGUGCUAGAGUAACUGUUAGCGCCUUGACGGUAUCUAACCAGAAAGCCACGGCUAUCUACGUG